Helianthus annuus (common sunflower) is the source of this 602-nucleotide long non-coding RNA. RefSeq lists it as uncharacterized. The record is from RefSeq and is a predicted model, not a curated record. Lineage: Eukaryota; Viridiplantae; Streptophyta; Magnoliopsida; Asterales; Asteraceae. The transcript is spliced from 6 exons.
GUUUUGAUUAAUUAUGCAAGGUCGUCUAAAGAGGCAGAAGAAGUUUGUAAAGAGGUGAACUUGGAUGCGUUUGCAAUGUUUCAUUUGAGUCAGAUUGCAGUUGAGUGCAGAAUUAUCAUGGAACUUGCAAUUCCGUGAGAGAAACCGGGCUCACGAGUGUUUGAAAGAUUCACAGUGGGCUAUCAUCCACGGUCAUGAGAAAUUGUAUACAACGUUAUGACUCAAUGCGGUUACGAAAAAGCUUACAAGGACUACAGCUUUGACACGGACCAGAGUCGUGUAUCUCUUUGUAUAUGACUGCAGUUGCUUCUCUUUCUCAAUUACUUCAAAAACCAACUGUUACGGUUUCUCCUAAGACCGGGUUGGAGGUUACUUUGUCUAACUCCGCUGCAACAGGGAGUCGACCGACAACUUUGUCUCCAACGUUGUUGAAUAUCGAUCACAAAUGUACAAAAUCUUCUAUUGCUAUAUUUUAGAGGUCAAAAUGGGUUAUUACGGGUCGAGGCGUGUUUCCCAGACACUUCUCUUAAAGUAUAAUCAUUUAUAAACAAACUGUGUGUAAAAUAAUAAUGUAAUAUAGGAGCCCUUGUGCAUUAAAAGCU